RNAcentral lists this long non-coding RNA (291 nucleotides) under Ictidomys tridecemlineatus (thirteen-lined ground squirrel). RNAcentral describes it as "lncRNA (ENSSTOG00000029919.1)". The record is from RNAcentral. Lineage: Eukaryota; Metazoa; Chordata; Mammalia; Rodentia; Sciuridae.
UCCGUGUGCUUUUUUUAUUCCCUUUCUCUGCCUUCUAAUGUAACAUCAGAGAAAGGUGUGGAGUUCUGCUCCACAGAAACAGAAGAAUCAAGUAUAGUGUGGAGUCUUCUGGAGAGGUUACUGGAGCAAGAGUGAAGAGAUCAUAGGGUCAUUGAAGAGCUCCUUUAAGAAGAAGAAAAAGAUCUUUGUUGAACCAUGUCAGUCCAAGGUGGCUGAUGUUACAUCAGGAUCAUAACUGUUUUGAUUUAAUCUACAUUUCAGCAGUCAUUCUUCAUUGAACCAGAAGGUAAC